AACAGUCUUUUUGUUUGUUUUCUUCGGAAAUUUCACCCUCUUUUUUGUGUUUUUACAGGCAAAAAACAGAGCAGCCGGGGCCUGUAAAGCUCGGUUUGCGGCUUUGGCUAUAGACAAGACAACAAUAGGCAUCGUUUCUCCGAGAAGAUGGGAACACAGGCUCGUGCCUAACUUUGUGAAGUGAUUUUGGAUUUAGAUUCUAUUUUGGUUCAUUGAGUUGUUGUUUUUGUGAACCUGCAAUUUUUAUAGCCAAUGGAUGUCCUGUGAAAAUCUAAUAGACUUUGAUUAUAUAAUUUUUAACUUGAUUUUAUUCUC
Long non-coding RNA from Tarenaya hassleriana, 315 nucleotides. RefSeq lists it as uncharacterized. The transcript has 2 exons. NCBI's taxonomy places the organism in Eukaryota, Viridiplantae, Streptophyta, Magnoliopsida, Brassicales, Cleomaceae. The record is from RefSeq and is a predicted model, not a curated record.